AUAGGAAGAUAAAAGGCAUCUUUUAUCUUUUAAAAGACCUAGUAAUAGGUAUGCUUUAGGAGGGGCUUGCGCCAUAUUAGUUAGUUGGUAGGGUAAUGGCCUACCAAGACGAUGAUGUGUAGCUGGACUGAGAGGUUGAACAGCCACAUUGGGACUGAGACACGGCCCAAACUCCUACGGGAGGCAGCAGUAGGGAAUUUUCGGCAAUGGAGGAAACUCUGACCGAGCAACGCCGCGUGAAUGACGAAGUACUUCGGUAUGUAAAGUUCUUUUAUCAAGGAAGAAAAGCAAAUGGCGAACCAUUUGUUUGCCGGUACUUGAUGAAUAAGCCCCGGCUAAUUAUGUGCCAGCAGCCGCGGUAAGACAUAAGGGGCAAGUGUUAUCCGGAAUUAUUGGGCGUAAAGGGUGCGUAGGCGGUCUAGUAAGUCAGUGGUGUAAUGGCAACGCUUAACGUUGUCCGGCUAUUGAAACUGCUAAACUUGAGUUAGAUAGAGGCGAGUGGAAUUCCAUGUGUAGCGGUAAAAUGCGUAAAUAUAUGGAGGAACACCAGAGGCGUAGGCGGCUCGCUGGGUCUUAACUGACGCUGAGGCACGAAAGCGUGGGGAGCAAACAGGAUUAGAUACCCUGGUAGUCCACGCCGUAACGAUGAGUACUAAGUGUCGGGUUAAACCGGUACUGAAGUUAACACAUUAAGUACUCCGCCUGAGUAGUACGUACGCAAGUAUGAAACUUAAAGGAAUUGACGGGACUCCGCACAAGCGGUGGAUCAUGUUGUUUAAUUCGAAGAUACCCGAAAAACCUUACCAGGUCUUGACAUGUUUUUGCAAAAUGAUAGUAAUAUCGUGGAGGUUACCAGAAACACAGGUGGUGCAUGGUUGUCGUCAGCUCGUGUCGUGAGAUGUUAGGUUAAGUCCUAAAACGAGCGAAACCCUUAUCGUUAGUUGCCAGCACGUUAUGGUGGGGACUUUAACGAGACUGCCAAUGAUAAAUUGGAGGAAGGUGAGGAUCACGUCAAAUCAGCAGGCCCCUUAUGACCUGGGCUACAAACGUGAUACAAUGGCUGUUACAAAGGGUAGCUGAAACGCAAGUUCUUGGCCAAUCCCCAAAAACAGUCCCAGUCCGGAUUGAAGUCUGCAACUCGACUUCAUGAAGUUGGAAUCGCUAGUAAUCGCGAAUCAGCAUGUCGCGGUGAAUACGUUCU
Molecule: ribosomal RNA, 1201 nt
Filed under: Eggplant big bud phytoplasma
Lineage: Bacteria; Bacillati; Mycoplasmatota; Mollicutes; Acholeplasmatales; Acholeplasmataceae
Description: bacterial SSU rRNA
Rfam family: Bacterial small subunit ribosomal RNA
Source: RNAcentral